This 236-nucleotide ribosomal RNA is filed under the name uncultured bacterium. RNAcentral's name for it is "partial 16S ribosomal RNA". It matches the Rfam family "Bacterial small subunit ribosomal RNA", at positions 337 to 589 of the family's 1533-position model. The record is from RNAcentral.
UCCUCCGGGGGGCAGCAGUGGGGAAUAUUGCACAAUGGGGGAAACCCUGAUGCAGCAACGCCGCGUGCCGGACUCCGUUUUUGGGCUUGUCCCCUUCUGUUCUUCUUGCCGCCCCCUGCCGGUCGCUCCGGAGCACGCCACGGCUAACUACGUGCCAGCCGCCGCGGUCCUCCGUCGGUGGCCCGCGUUGGCCGGCCUUCCUGGGUGUCCCGGGCGCGCCGGCGGGCCGCCCCGUC